RNAcentral lists this ribosomal RNA (466 nucleotides) under uncultured bacterium. Its description in RNAcentral is "bacterial SSU rRNA". It matches the Rfam family "Bacterial small subunit ribosomal RNA", at positions 31 to 507 of the family's 1533-position model. The record is from RNAcentral.
GAACGCUGGCGGCGUGCUUAACACAUGCAAGUCGAACGAAGACAUCUGAGUGCUUGCACUUGGAUGGACUGAGUGGCGGACGGGUGAGUAACGCGUGGGUAACCUGCCUUAUACAGGGGGAUAACAGUUGGAAACGGCUGAUAAUACCGCAUAAGCGCACAGUACCGCAUGGUACAGUGUGAAAAACUCCGGUGGUGUGAGAUGGACCCGCGUCUGAUUAGCUUGUUGGCAGGGUAACGGCCUACCAAGGCAACGAUCAGUAGCCGACCUGAGAGGGUGACCGGCCACAUUGGGACUGAGACACGGCCCAGACUCCUACGGGAGGCAGCAGUGGGGAAUAUUGCACAAUGGAGGAAACUCUGAUGCAGCGACGCCGCGUGAGUGAAGAAGUAAUUCGUUAUGUAAAGCUCUAUCAGCAGGGAAGAUAGUGACGGUACCUGACUAAGAAGCUCCGGCUAAAUACGUG